GCGCGGUGAAGGUUAUACCAUCUUUCGGCUGAGUCGUUGUGAUGCCAAUUAUAAAUCUGCUGAGCGUUU
RNAcentral lists this small nucleolar RNA (69 nucleotides) under Ancylostoma duodenale. RNAcentral's name for it is "Nematode snoRNA ceN109". It matches the Rfam family "Nematode snoRNA ceN109". Lineage: Eukaryota; Metazoa; Nematoda; Chromadorea; Rhabditida; Ancylostomatidae. The record is from Rfam by way of RNAcentral.